GGAAAACAUAAAGGUUCACUGUGAAUGCAAAGCCUGUUUCCAGAUUCAGAGACUGCUGUUCCCUCUCAAGUUUUUAAGGAAGACUCAAUUAUAUAAGAAGGUCUUCAAAGCACUUAGACUACAAAUUAAAGAACACAAUCUUGUAAUGGGUUUCUUCUGAUGAAAUAUAACCAGUGAUCACCAUCCUUGCAAAGAGCCAUGCGCUGCAUAUCUACCCUAAGCAAACAGAGAAGCUUAAACUAACACAUCAUCUUCAAACAAAGUUGUCUGAAGUUCUGAAAACACAGAGAUACUGCAAGUUAAAUACCAAGUCGUACCAACAUAACCACAGAGUUCUGGCUAACAAAAGGUAGUUAUCAAUCUGAGAGGCCACUAUCGACCAGAAAAAGACGAAGUCUUGUAAAAUGAGAUGUCCCUUUAUCCUUGCCUCCUUUUCCUUCCGAAACCUCUGAUAACGUCUCUAGAGAUACAACAGCCAUCUUCUGACCAAGAAGACAAAAAAUGGUAAGCUAGAAAAAUAGGAUACUGUUCCUUGAUGACAUCCUUGAGCAAUCUCAUCAUCUAUGGAUUGCCUAUCUCUGGACUUCACAUUACGUAAGAAAAGUAAAUUCUCACUUGUUUAAGGCA
This is a long non-coding RNA of Felis catus (domestic cat), 627 nucleotides long. RefSeq lists it as uncharacterized. The record is from RefSeq and is a predicted model, not a curated record. The transcript has 4 exons. Lineage: Eukaryota; Metazoa; Chordata; Mammalia; Carnivora; Felidae.